GAUGAACGCUGGCGGUGUGCCUAAUACAUGCAAGUCGUACGCAUUCUCGUUUCUGAUUGACGGUACUUGCACCUAAUUGACGAGACAUUGGAAUGAGUGGCGGACGGGUGAGUAACACGUGGGUAACCUGCCCAGAAGUGGGGGAUAACAUUUGGAAACAGAUGCUAAUACCGCAUAAAAGUCAAAACCACAUGGUUUUGAUUUAAAAGAUGGCCUUUGUGCUAUCACUUCUGGAUGGACCCGCGGCGUAUUAGCUAGUUGGUAAGGUAACGGCUUACCAAGGCAAUGAUACGUAGCCGAACUGAGAGGUUGAUCGGCCACAAUGGGACUGAGACACGGCCCAUACUCCUACGGGAGGCAGCAGUAGGGAAUCUUCCACAAUGGGCGCAAGCCUGAUGGAGCAACACCGCGUGAGUGAAGAAGGGUUUCGGCUCGUAAAACUCUGUUGUUAAAGAAGAACGUAUCUAAGAGUAACUGCUUAGGUAGUGACGGUAUUUAACCAGAAAGCCACGGCUAACUACGUGCCAGCAGCCGCAGUAA
RNAcentral lists this ribosomal RNA (540 nucleotides) under uncultured bacterium. Its description in RNAcentral is "partial 16S ribosomal RNA". It matches the Rfam family "Bacterial small subunit ribosomal RNA", at positions 28 to 523 of the family's 1533-position model. The record is from RNAcentral.